RNAcentral lists this transfer RNA (75 nucleotides) under Angomonas deanei. Its description in RNAcentral is "Ile transfer RNA (tat)". It matches the Rfam family "tRNA". Rfam says of the family: Transfer RNA (tRNA) molecules are approximately 80 nucleotides in length. The record is from RNAcentral. Lineage: Eukaryota; Euglenozoa; Kinetoplastea; Trypanosomatida; Trypanosomatidae.
GCUCCUAUGGUCUAGUUGGUUAGGACGUUGGUCUUAUGUACCGAAUAUCGUGGGUUCGAGCCCCACUAGGAGCAC